AUUGAACGCUGGCGGCAGGCCUAACACAUGCAAGUCGAACGAGCGGCGGACGGGUGAGUAAUGUCUGGGAAACUGCCCGAUGGAGGGGGAUAACUACUGGAAACGGUAGCUAAUACCGCAUCCCAUCGGAUGUGCCCAGAUGGGAUUAGAUAGUAGGUGGGGUAACGGCUCACCUAGGCGACGAGCCCUAGCUGGUCUGAGAGGAAGACCAACCACACUGUAACGGAGACACGGUCCAGACGCCUACGGGAGUCAGCAGUGGGGAAGAUUGCACAAUGGGCGCAAGCCUGAUGCAGCCAUGCCGCGUGUAUGAAGAAGGCCUUCGGGUUGUAAAGCACUUUCAGCGAGGAGGCGUUACUCGCAGAAGAAGCACCGGCUAACUCCGUGCCAGCCGCCGCGGUAAUAC
Molecule: ribosomal RNA, 406 nt
Filed under: uncultured bacterium
Lineage: Bacteria
Description: partial 16S ribosomal RNA
Rfam family: Bacterial small subunit ribosomal RNA
Source: RNAcentral